Molecule: ribosomal RNA, 323 nt
Filed under: Chaetoceros curvisetus
Lineage: Eukaryota; Bacillariophyta; Thalassiosirophyceae; Chaetocerotales; Chaetocerotaceae
Description: partial Bacterial small subunit ribosomal RNA
Rfam family: Bacterial small subunit ribosomal RNA
Source: RNAcentral
GUGAAAUCCCGGGGCUCAACCCCGGAACUGCCUUUGAUACUGUCAGUCUAGAGUCCGGAAGAGGUGAAUGGAACUCCUAGUGUAGAGGUGAAAUUCGUAGAUAUUAGUGAAGAACACCAGUGGCGAAGGCGAUUCACUGGUCCGGUACUGACGCUGAGGUGCGAAAGCGUGGAGCAAACAGGAUUAGAUACCCUGGUAGUCCACGCCGUAAACGAUGCUAACUCGUUUUUGGGCUUUAGGGUUCAGAGACCAAGCGAAAGUGAUAAGUUAGCCACCUGGGGAGUACGCUCGCAAGAGUGAAACUCAAAGGAAUUGACGGGGCC